CGGGCGUUAAGUUGCAGGGUAUAGACCCGAAACCCGGUGAUCUAGCCAUGGGCAGGUUGAAGGUUGGGUAACACUAACUGGAGGACCGAACCGACUAAUGUUGAAAAAUUAGCGGAUGACCUGUGGCUGGGGGUGAAAGGCCAAUCAAACCGGGAGAUAGCUGGUUCUCCCCGAAAGCUAUUUAGGUAGCGCCUCGUGAAUUCAUCUCCGGGGGUAGAGCACUGUUUCGGCUAGGGGGCCAUCCCGGCUUACCAACCCGAUGCAAACUGCGAAUACCGGAGAAUGUUAUCACGGGAGACACACGGCGGGUGCUAACGUCCGUCGUGAAGAGGGAAACAACCCAGACCGCCAGCUAAGGUCCCAAAGUCAUGGUUAAGUGGGAAACGAUGUGGGAAGGCCCAGACAGCCAGGAUGUUGGCUUAGAAGCAGCCAUCAUUUAAAGAAAGCGUAAUAGCUCACUGGUCGAGUCGGCCUGCGCGGAAGAUGUAACGGGGCUAAACCAUGCACCGAAGCUGCGGCAGCGACGCUGAUGCGUUGUUGGGUAGGGGAGCGUUCUGUAAGCCUGCGAAGGUGGCCUGUGAGGGUUGCUGGAGGUAUCAGAAGUGCGAAUGCUGACAUAAGUAACGAUAAAGCGGGUGAAAAGCCCGCUCGCCGGAAGACCAAGGGUUCCUGUCCAACGUUAAUCGGGGCAGGGUGAGUCGACCCCUAAGGCGAGGCCGAAAGGCGUAGUCGAUGGGAAACGGGUUAAUAUUCCCGUACUUGGUGUUACUGCGAAGGGGGGACGGAGAAGGCUAUGUUGGCCGGGCGACGGUU
RNAcentral lists this ribosomal RNA (813 nucleotides) under Salmonella enterica. RNAcentral's name for it is "bacterial LSU rRNA". It matches the Rfam family "Bacterial large subunit ribosomal RNA", at positions 689 to 1503 of the family's 2925-position model. The record is from RNAcentral. Lineage: Bacteria; Pseudomonadati; Pseudomonadota; Gammaproteobacteria; Enterobacterales; Enterobacteriaceae. RNAcentral also lists the same sequence under 1 other name.